RNAcentral lists this ribosomal RNA (237 nucleotides) under uncultured bacterium. Its description in RNAcentral is "partial 16S ribosomal RNA". It matches the Rfam family "Bacterial small subunit ribosomal RNA", at positions 102 to 339 of the family's 1533-position model. The record is from RNAcentral.
ACGGGUGCGUAACGCGUAUACAAUCUACCUUUUACAGAGGGAUAGCCCAGAGAAAUUUGGAUUAAUACCUCAUAGUAUUAUAAAAUGGCAUCAUUUAAUAAUUAAAACUUCGGUGGUGAAAGAUGAGUAUGCGUUCUAUUAGCUAGUAGGUAAGGUAACGGCUUACCUAGGCAACGAUAGAUAGGGGUCCUGAGAGGGAGAUCCCCCACACUGGUACUGAGACACGGACCAGACUCC